This 753-nucleotide ribosomal RNA is filed under the name Triticum aestivum (bread wheat). RNAcentral describes it as "partial small subunit ribosomal RNA". The record is from RNAcentral. Lineage: Eukaryota; Viridiplantae; Streptophyta; Magnoliopsida; Poales; Poaceae.
AUGCACCCACCCCUCUCCUCCGCUGCCUCCACGGCGGCCGGAGCCCAAGAUCCACCUUCAAGCCCCAACCACCGCUCCCCUGCCGAUGCUGCAUCUCUCCUGCAGCUACUGGCAUCCCCGCUGGCCGGCCUAUCCUCGGCGUCCCCUUGCCUGCGUAAAGAUGCGGACCUGGUGGAGAUCCCCUCUCCAGAUCUCCCCUCGGCCACCAUUUUGGGUACGAUUCAAAGCCGUAUCCCGCCAGCGGCAGUGGAAUCUUGCCCUGCUUCGGCUCCGGCCGCACAACCCAGGCUGCGCUCGCUGAUCGUCGCGCCUGACGGUUGGGCUGCGCCCUCCUCGGUGGGUUGCUGCGCCGCGCCGCGCCUCCAUUCCAUUAUUGUGGCACCAGAGGGUGGGUUGCUGCCUGAUGCCGCUCUGCCUGCCGCAGCUGGGCAGCAGCCUGCUACUGGAUCCGGCGAUGCUGCUGCCGAGGAUAGCUCCCUUGGAUGGCAACAAGUGCGCUCCAGGAAGGAGAAGCGCAAUCCGCAGGCCCCCGUUUUGGGAGAUCCGCGGCAGGGGCGACAGGGCCGGCGUGCUCCGCCCUCUGAUCCCAUGGCUUUGAAGCAGCAUCUCGCGUUUAAGGCUAGACUCCGCGGCAAAUGUUUUCGCUGCCUGUCAAAGCGCCAUCGCCUUGCUGACUGCCGUGAACCUCUCCGCUGCAUUCGGUGCAAGGGCAUUGGCCACUUUGCGCGUACUUGCUCUGCUUCCCUCCCCUAG